Molecule: non-coding RNA, 874 nt
Organism: Pelodiscus sinensis (Chinese soft-shelled turtle)
Lineage: Eukaryota; Metazoa; Chordata; Testudines; Trionychidae
Source: RefSeq, a predicted model, not a curated record
CAUUCCUGAUUCUUCAGCUUCAUGAAUGCAGAACUAAGACAGCACUCUUGGAAAUACAAGAUGACUUCAGAAUGUUCAGGAAUUGAUUGACUGCCGAAGAUAUGAGGAGAUGGCGUCCCAACAUUCAAAAUAGCCUGCCCUGCCUUAUAAGACCUAUUCAAGCAUCUCAACCCGCAACUGGAACCCAAGUUUCCAGGUGUACUUCAGAGUGAAGGCAUUACUCAUAAACCUCAUCAUUUGAAUAUUUUCAUCAUCCCUGUCCAUACUCCUGUGAAGCCGAGUUCCAUAAAACCUUCCUCAUCUCCCAUUUCCACAUACCUGGAUAUUUGAGACUACUUUUUUGGCCUGCUGGACAAUAUGCUGCUAUGAUGAAAAUCAAAAGUAAAAAAGAAAAAUUGAGAGCAGAAGAACUUUCAAAUGAGUUGGCUUUAUGAGCACAUUGCAAACCCAUGUGUCUGAGAGAAUAACUUGGGGCAUGUAUUUUCAUCUCUUGUAUAAACUAGUGAAUGAUAUUGCUGCUUUUAUAUCAUUGAAAAAUAAAACAUCUUAGUGCUAAGAAACAAUUUGAGAAAAGAUUAAUUUCAAGGAGCACCCAGGACAAAUUUUGAGAAAGGUGUUCAGAAUUGUUUCGAGUUGAAAGUAAAAUUUGUUUGGUAUGCUCAUUUCGAGGAAGAAUAACUUAAAAUUAAGAGUAAGAGGGUGUUUUAAAGAAGAAAAUAGGUGAAUGAAUAUUUGAUUCUUCUGUUAAUGUUCACAAUAAAACUGAAAGCAUUAUUUAUAUUUCCUAUGCAGCUUUCAUCAUUGAAAGGACUUUGCAAAGCCAAAAUGACACAUUUAAAAAUCUCUUCGGAGAGUUUCUAGCUUUCAGGUCACG